Molecule: ribosomal RNA, 292 nt
Filed under: uncultured bacterium
Lineage: Bacteria
Description: partial 16S ribosomal RNA
Rfam family: Bacterial small subunit ribosomal RNA
Source: RNAcentral
GUGCCAGCCGCCGCGGUAAUACAGAGGGUGCGAGCGUUAAUCGGAGUUACUGGGCGUAAAGGGCGCGUAGGCGGUUGUUUAAGAUUGAUGUGAAAUCCCUGGGCUUAACCUAGGAAGUGCAUCGAUGACUGGACGGCUAGAGUAUUGUAGAGGGUGGCGGAAUUUCCGGUGUAGCGGUGAAAUGCGUAGAGAUCGGAAAGAACACCAGUGGCGAAGGCGGCCACCUGGACAAAUACUGACGCUGAGGCGCGAAAGCGUGGGGAGCAAACAGGAUUAGAUACCCUGGUAGUCC